GGGAGUCGGAAUGGAAUAUCGUAUGUAGUGUUGAAUCCAAUCGGAAGCUCUUUCGAACAAGCGAGGAACGAGUGACCACAAGCUCCGCUUAAGCGCUCGACAUGCAGUUAGCUUAAAACAUGUUCAUCAUGUGGUCGAGCGAAGCGCACCUCUGUGAAGCAGCCUAGCAUCACUUUAGAUAGGAGCAGAAUGGAUGACUUAAACUGAAAGUAAGUUCUCCGGAUCGAUAUAUCGUACGACGUAAUGGAGAUCUUGAUCUAGAUCCGGUGCUUCGCAGAAUUCGGGACCUAACGAUGUUCGGUUCGUCACAUGAACUGAACGGUAAUAGUCUAUUACCCCUCUCACUUCGUUCGAGCUGAAUUACAUCCACCCUCUCACGGUUAAAAAAGUGGUUAACUAUCUCGAAAAAAUCCAUAUCGUCCAUCCGAAAAACGUGUCUCAAUUACAGCCAACUCCCCCUCCCCUGUCUCUUUCCCUAUCGAAAAACCAGCCCUACUUAUUUUGUUCUACAAAUGCUAACCAAGUGACACACUGGGGCCAUGGGUCAUGAAAGAGGUUGACCCCCAUCCUCCUUAACUAUGUAUGGCUAAUGAACUCCUCGCUUUAGUCCGUUCUUUUCCUUCUUUGGGCUCGGGUCG
Molecule: long non-coding RNA, 638 nt
Filed under: Nicotiana benthamiana
Lineage: Eukaryota; Viridiplantae; Streptophyta; Magnoliopsida; Solanales; Solanaceae
Description: long non-coding RNA (NBEN_LNC010921)
Source: RNAcentral